AAUGACGUUGUGAUGUCAUUGCGUGAUAACGUAAAACUGCGUCAUUACGUAGAAUACACAAUAACGUUACUCAAAUUGACUGGCCAUCUCGGCAAAAAAUAUGAUUUGACAUUUGUUCAGGAGAGUUGAGCACCUAUCAGAUCCUCUGCUGUCCUUCACCCCUCGGUGCAGUCUGCUGACCAUCGCUGGGGCCAGGAAAAAGUCUGUCAACCGAGGUUCCAGGUGAUCUCCCAUCUUCUUCAUAGUGGCCUCAGCUGGACUCCACUGCAUAACCUCUUGGUCAGCUGGAAACCCACCGCAUAACUUCUAGCCAGGUGAAUCAAGAGCUUCACCAGAGACAGAAGAGGAAGCGAGACAUCCUGCCAUUCCUACGUCACUGCCUUAUCCGCUUGUUGCCCUGAUCCAGUCCCCCAUCAGUACACAUUUUUAUUGUAGCCCCAGACAAGCACAUCUGAUUCAACUUGUCAACUAAUCAUCAAGCCCUUGAGUUGAAUGAGGUGUGUUUGUCCGGGGGCUACAAUGAAAAUGUGUACGGUUAGGGGUACUUGAAGACCGGAGUUGGUAAACAACGAGGGAGUUCUAUUAACCUGAGCCGCGGUGCACUGGUCUAUGACCCAUGGUGUGAAAGGGAAAAAGCGGUGAGGGAGGAGUGUCCUUCUCAAAUCUAACAGUAAUUUGUGCCACUGUCAUGUUGUCGACAAGGCAGCAUGGUGCAUCUUUCAGAAACACAUUUUUUCCCAUAAAAUGUUUGAAAUGAAAACAACUAGUUUGAAAAUGUGAUUGCAGAUAAUGCGUUUUUAUCAAAAGCAAUCACUUUCACAUGUGAAA
Salvelinus namaycush (lake trout) is the source of this 828-nucleotide long non-coding RNA. RefSeq lists it as uncharacterized. The transcript has 3 exons. NCBI's taxonomy places the organism in Eukaryota, Metazoa, Chordata, Actinopteri, Salmoniformes, Salmonidae. The record is from RefSeq and is a predicted model, not a curated record.